AUCGCUUCUCGGCCUUUUGGCUAAGAUCAAGUGUAGUAUCUGUUCUGUCCUAUAAAAAGAGACAAAGGGGCCUACCACUUCAAUGAAGUUUCCAGGAGUCUUA
Molecule: small nuclear RNA, 103 nt
Filed under: Canis lupus familiaris (dog)
Lineage: Eukaryota; Metazoa; Chordata; Mammalia; Carnivora; Canidae
Description: U2 spliceosomal RNA (ENSCAFG00030006104.1)
Rfam family: U2 spliceosomal RNA
About the family: U2 is a small nuclear RNA (snRNA) component of the spliceosome (involved in pre-mRNA splicing).
Source: RNAcentral